RNAcentral lists this ribosomal RNA (2922 nucleotides) under Staphylococcus aureus. Its description in RNAcentral is "bacterial LSU rRNA". It matches the Rfam family "Bacterial large subunit ribosomal RNA". The record is from RNAcentral. Lineage: Bacteria; Bacillati; Bacillota; Bacilli; Caryophanales; Staphylococcaceae.
UUAAGUUAUUAAGGGCGCACGGUGGAUGCCUUGGCACUAGAAGCCGAUGAAGGACGUUACUAACGACGAUAUGCUUUGGGGAGCUGUAAGUAAGCUUUGAUCCAGAGAUUUCCGAAUGGGGAAACCCAGCAUGAGUUAUGUCAUGUUAUCGAUAUGUGAAUACAUAGCAUAUCAGAAGGCACACCCGGAGAACUGAAACAUCUUAGUACCCGGAGGAAGAGAAAGAAAAUUCGAUUCCCUUAGUAGCGGCGAGCGAAACGGGAAGAGCCCAAACCAACAAGCUUGCUUGUUGGGGUUGUAGGACACUCUAUACGGAGUUACAAAGGACGACAUUAGACGAAUCAUCUGGAAAGAUGAAUCAAAGAAGGUAAUAAUCCUGUAGUCGAAAAUGUUGUCUCUCUUGAGUGGAUCCUGAGUACGACGGAGCACGUGAAAUUCCGUCGGAAUCUGGGAGGACCAUCUCCUAAGGCUAAAUACUCUCUAGUGACCGAUAGUGAACCAGUACCGUGAGGGAAAGGUGAAAAGCACCCCGGAAGGGGAGUGAAAUAGAACCUGAAACCGUGUGCUUACAAGUAGUCAGAGCCCGUUAAUGGGUGAUGGCGUGCCUUUUGUAGAAUGAACCGGCGAGUUACGAUUUGAUGCAAGGUUAAGCAGUAAAUGUGGAGCCGUAGCGAAAGCGAGUCUGAAUAGGGCGUUUAGUAUUUGGUCGUAGACCCGAAACCAGGUGAUCUACCCUUGGUCAGGUUGAAGUUCAGGUAACACUGAAUGGAGGACCGAACCGACUUACGUUGAAAAGUGAGCGGAUGAACUGAGGGUAGCGGAGAAAUUCCAAUCGAACCUGGAGAUAGCUGGUUCUCUCCGAAAUAGCUUUAGGGCUAGCCUCAAGUGAUGAUUAUUGGAGGUAGAGCACUGUUUGGACGAGGGGCCCCUCUCGGGUUACCGAAUUCAGACAAACUCCGAAUGCCAAUUAAUUUAACUUGGGAGUCAGAACAUGGGUGAUAAGGUCCGUGUUCGAAAGGGAAACAGCCCAGACCACCAGCUAAGGUCCCAAAAUAUAUGUUAAGUGGAAAAGGAUGUGGCGUUGCCCAGACAACUAGGAUGUUGGCUUAGAAGCAGCCAUCAUUUAAAGAGUGCGUAAUAGCUCACUAGUCGAGUGACACUGCGCCGAAAAUGUACCGGGGCUAAACAUAUUACCGAAGCUGUGGAUUGUCCUUUGGACAAUGGUAGGAGAGCGUUCUAAGGGCGUUGAAGCAUGAUCGUAAGGACAUGUGGAGCGCUUAGAAGUGAGAAUGCCGGUGUGAGUAGCGAAAGACGGGUGAGAAUCCCGUCCACCGAUUGACUAAGGUUUCCAGAGGAAGGCUCGUCCGCUCUGGGUUAGUCGGGUCCUAAGCUGAGGCCGACAGGCGUAGGCGAUGGAUAACAGGUUGAUAUUCCUGUACCACCUAUAAUCGUUUUAAUCGAUGGGGGGACGCAGUAGGAUAGGCGAAGCGUGCGAUUGGAUUGCACGUCUAAGCAGUAAGGCUGAGUAUUAGGCAAAUCCGGUACUCGUUAAGGCUGAGCUGUGAUGGGGAGAAGACAUUGUGUCUUCGAGUCGUUGAUUUCACACUGCCGAGAAAAGCCUCUAGAUAGAAAAUAGGUGCCCGUACCGCAAACCGACACAGGUAGUCAAGAUGAGAAUUCUAAGGUGAGCGAGCGAACUCUCGUUAAGGAACUCGGCAAAAUGACCCCGUAACUUCGGGAGAAGGGGUGCUCUUUAGGGUUAACGCCCAGAAGAGCCGCAGUGAAUAGGCCCAAGCGACUGUUUAUCAAAAACACAGGUCUCUGCUAAACCGUAAGGUGAUGUAUAGGGGCUGACGCCUGCCCGGUGCUGGAAGGUUAAGAGGAGUGGUUAGCUUCUGCGAAGCUACGAAUCGAAGCCCCAGUAAACGGCGGCCGUAACUAUAACGGUCCUAAGGUAGCGAAAUUCCUUGUCGGGUAAGUUCCGACCCGCACGAAAGGCGUAACGAUUUGGGCACUGUCUCAACGAGAGACUCGGUGAAAUCAUAGUACCUGUGAAGAUGCAGGUUACCCGCGACAGGACGGAAAGACCCCGUGGAGCUUUACUGUAGCCUGAUAUUGAAAUUCGGCACAGCUUGUACAGGAUAGGUAGGAGCCUUUGAAACGUGAGCGCUAGCUUACGUGGAGGCGCUGGUGGGAUACUACCCUAGCUGUGUUGGCUUUCUAACCCGCACCACUUAUCGUGGUGGGAGACAGUGUCAGGCGGGCAGUUUGACUGGGGCGGUCGCCUCCUAAAAGGUAACGGAGGCGCUCAAAGGUUCCCUCAGAAUGGUUGGAAAUCAUUCAUAGAGUGUAAAGGCAUAAGGGAGCUUGACUGCGAGACCUACAAGUCGAGCAGGGUCGAAAGACGGACUUAGUGAUCCGGUGGUUCCGCAUGGAAGGGCCAUCGCUCAACGGAUAAAAGCUACCCCGGGGAUAACAGGCUUAUCUCCCCCAAGAGUUCACAUCGACGGGGAGGUUUGGCACCUCGAUGUCGGCUCAUCGCCUCCUGGGGGCUGUAGUCGUUCCCAAGGGUUGGGCUGUUCGCCCAUUAAAGCGGUACGCGAGCUGGGUUCAGAACGUCGUGAGACAGUUCGGUCCCUAUCCGUCGUGGGCGUAGGAAAUUUGAGAGGAGCUGUCCUUAGUACGAGAGGACCGGGAUGGACAUACCUCUGGUGUACCAGUUGUCGUGCCAACGGCAUAGCUGGGUAGCUAUGUGUGGACGGGAUAAGUACUGAAAGCAUCUAAGCAUGAAGCCCCCCUCAAGAUGAGAUUUCCCAACUUCGGUUAUAAGAUCCCUCAAAGAUGAUGAGGUUAAUAGGUUCGAGGUGGAAGCAUGGUGACAUGUGGAGCUGACGAAUACUAAUCGAUCGAAGACUUAAUCAA